UUUAAUUGAAGAGUUUGAUCAUGGCUCAGAUUGAACGCUGGCGGCAGGCCUAACACAUGCAAGUCGAGCGGUAGCACAGGGAGCUUGCUCCUGGGUGACGAGCGGCGGACGGGUGAGUAAUGUCUGGGAAACUGCCUGAUGGAGGGGGAUAACUACUGGAAACGGUAGCUAAUACCGCAUAACGUCUUCGGACCAAAGAGGGGGACCUUCGGGCCUCUUGCCAUCAGAUGUGCCCAGAUGGGAUUAGCUAGUAGGUGAGGUAAUGGCUCACCUAGGCGACGAUCCCUAGCUGGUCUGAGAGGAUGACCAGCCACACUGGAACUGAGACACGGUCCAGACUCCUACGGGAGGCAGCAGUGGGGAAUAUUGCACAAUGGGCGCAAGCCUGAUGCAGCCAUGCCGCGUGUAUGAAGAAGGCCUUCGGGUUGUAAAGUACUUUCAGCGAGGAGGAAGGCAUUGUGGUUAAUAACC
This 471-nucleotide ribosomal RNA is filed under the name Buttiauxella sp. BIGb0552. RNAcentral describes it as "bacterial SSU rRNA". It matches the Rfam family "Bacterial small subunit ribosomal RNA", at positions 1 to 468 of the family's 1533-position model. The record is from RNAcentral. Lineage: Bacteria; Pseudomonadati; Pseudomonadota; Gammaproteobacteria; Enterobacterales; Enterobacteriaceae.